Macaca mulatta (Rhesus monkey) is the source of this 4463-nucleotide non-coding RNA. The record is from RefSeq and is a predicted model, not a curated record. Lineage: Eukaryota; Metazoa; Chordata; Mammalia; Primates; Cercopithecidae.
AAUUGCAUAUAGUAACAUGCAAAAGAAAGAAAUCACUUCAAGAUGAAAUUGAUCAGCAGAAGGGAAGUAGAACAUAAAGAUUUAGAACACUCUCAGGCUAGAAUCAUGCAAUUGUGACUUUACUGGCCUUAAGUCUCAGGAGGCCCUGUCCUCAUGGCAGUUCUCUGCUGGGACUGCAAUCCAAUGGCUCUCAGAAGCUUCGUCUUUUGAAAUCAUUUCUCAGUACAGGAAAACAAAAAAUGAGGCAUUUAUGCUACCUUCUUGAAUAAAAUGAAAACUACAAAGUAUGGUUGGAAUUUGAAAAAUUGCAAGAAUUUCCACUUGGGCUUGGCUUAAUGAACUAAGAAACAAUCAGGGCAAAGAUACCUUCGUGAUUAGGCUAAGAAUAAGUGAACACAGAUCCCACUGUCUCCACGGUGGAAUGGUACCCAAGACUAUAUGGUCACUGGCUGGCCACAGGGAGGAGCUUCAAAGCUCAGAAGAAUCUGGCCAUGGCUUACUAAAGUUUCCACCAAAUGGUAGAUUUCCAGGAAUUAAUAAUUACCUUAUUUUAGUUUUCAUUUGAUUAAUUUCCUAUAUACCUGCUUUUGUUUUUUGUAUGCUCCACUAAUUGUAUGAAUUCUAUCUAAUAUUUUUCAGUAAUCGAAUAUUUCAGAUACUCUAUCAAUAACAUGUCCUUUCUCUGGAGCCUGCCUUCUCUCCAACUUGUACUGAAGCUCUUUGGGCUCCUGCAUGGCUUUCCUGCUGGUACUGCAUUUACUGAUAUCUCAAAUAUCCCUCUUUUGUGGUCUCCAAAUCUCCAUUUGUUCUUGCUUUCAUCCUCAUUUUUCUGGAACCCUUACUCUUAAUGUUUCCUAAGAGAAGAUGCAUUGAAAAUUUAAUAUUUUUACAUUUUCCUUGCCUGAAUAUGGCAUGAGCUUUAAUUAGUGCACUUGUUUAAUCGUUUGGUUAGAUUGGGAAUUUCAGCCUGAAAGUCAUCGUCUUCAGACUUUUGAAGGCAUUAUCCAUUGCCUUCUUGAUCUCAAAGUUCCUGCCGUCCAAAGCUGUUAUGAUUCUGACAUUGAGAGGAACAUCUGUAUGUAAAUAUCUCACCAGCUUUUAUACUUGAAAACAUUGGACAUACAAAUUGUGUAUUCAUCCAUUUGGAGAAGAUAAUGGAAACCAUGGAAGUAUGGAGUGAUGAAGUGUAAAACAGAGAACUAAUUUUAAUAGGAUUCCCAAAGAUAUGAUCAAGGGUGUUUGAUGACUGAAAGAGAAAGAGAAGAAAAGCGGAAGAACCAGGUUAUUGAGUGUCAAAAAGACAAAAAGGGAAAAGUUUCAAGAAAAAUGUGGUUAACAGAGUUAUUAAAUGGAUAUUUAAUAUAUUUAAUCAGUAACGUAUUAACCAAAAUAUUGUGUGAUAAUAGUGUGAGCUUAGAAUUUGGUGUAAAGAAUCUGAAACAUCUCUGUACCAGGUCUCAAAAGAAGUGGAUUCCAGCCACUAAAUUUCUGGCUGUUCUUGGGUGAAUCAUAAAUCUCUGCUGCUUAUCUACAACCUGAGAAGGUGGGACUUAAUAACUUUAAGUGUCUUUUUGACUUUUAAUGUUAUAUGGCUUGCACUUUACACACUUUGAUGUACAUUCAAAGGCAGGAUCACAUUUGAGCCUUGAAAGAGUCCUGUGAGGAAAGUAGGACAGAGAUUUUCUCAUAUUCUCUGUCUUCUCUUUUAAUAAUUUUGUAGAUUACAAAACAGACAGAGUCAGAUUGAAAAACAGAGCCAGAUUUAGAACCCAGGGGUCUCAUCCAGGUGGGUCAUAGUUCAUAUGAAGUAUCUGAUAUCAUAUUAGUACUCAUUUGAAGCAAAUGCAUCAAUGUUUUUGCCAAAGUCUAAAUAUAUAUCCAUUGAUUCUUGUGAUUUCCCCAGACCAGGAAGAACUUCUUAAUGGAUCGUAAACUGAUGUGAAUUUUUAAGCUCCAUCUUCUGGUUUUAUAGUCAAAUGAUGGCUAUGAUUGAUAGAGUACUUAAGUGAAAGGCAGAAUCAGUUUGUUUGAAGCUGCUCAGUUUUCAAUUGUUGUUGCUCCUUCUCUUUCAUUAUGAGUUAUUAGUUUAGCCUUAUCAAUAUCAAUUUAGUUUGCUGUGGUUUUGGUCAAUCCUAGAGAACACAAUAAUGCAUUAUACUUGCAUCCAAAGUACUUUUGCCUAUAAUUUUCUGAUAAGUAAAUGUUAAAAAGGAUUUACAGUAUAGAUCAAAUGUGAAUCAUAUAUAGGCUUAUUGUAAAAGCUGAUUACAUAGAAUGUUGCCUCAUUUAUUUUUAAUAAUAAUAUUACUGUUUUCUUAGAUAAUGGAGCAACUGAUCAUUUUCAUCACUGACUUGCAUUCCAUUCCACUUUACCUUGAAUAUUUUCUUGCAAAAUAGAACACAAAACAAUCUGUUACAUUCUUUAAGGUCCAGAGUACUUCCAGGAACUCCAGUUGGCCUUGUAUUUUGCUUACAACUCAGUGCAGAAAUGUGUUGGGAAAUAUGAUGUCAUACAAACUGAGUUGUUACAGGACUUUAGAUAGAAGACCACCUAUUCUUUUAUGUUAGACUAAACCAUUUGUACUGAAAACAAUAAAAAUCUAAUAAAUGACCAAUAGUCUUUUUUAGGCAACUCAUUCAAAUAUUUUAUUUUUUUGUUUAGUGAUUUGAUCUACUAGUGUCUAAUGUGAGCUUAUAGGAUAAGCAGCACAUGACAGGACCAGAUAAUGAAGUGGAAUCAAUUGCUCGGGCAGCUCUCUUGAUGGUUAUAUUCCAAUUCUCAUUACAUCCAAAUGUGAAAUGUCAACAACCCAUUGCUACAUUUGCCUUCAUAGUAAAAUCCUUGUUCUAGCCCAAGGCAGACAACUCCAUUUGUUUAUAGGUUCAAUUAACCUAUUAUAAUUUGUCAGAUUCUUUCUAAAGCUACCUUAUUGGGAAAUGACAAAAAUAUGCAGAAUUAUGGAGAAAUACACUGGAAAACCAACUUUCUGUCUGGCCCCGAAAUAUCUAGGAAUGCCUGUGUCCUAUAUUCAGAAUGAAUUUUUACUAUAAUUAAAAGUUUAUUCUUCUUACUCUCUUCCUACUUCCAACAUGAAAAGAAAGCGUAAUGACCUCGUAGGCUUAAUAUAAUCUUACUUCAUAGGAUGGCAUGUUAUACUAUAAAAGUUCAUGGAAGAAUGAGUGUUUUUUCAUUUUUCUGUAACAAGAGAUGUGGGUUGCUCUAUUUUAGUAACUGGUUUGUGGGUUAGAUAUUUCUGCCAUUUUUUUUUUUUGGUCCUAUCAGUUAUAGAAUAUGGAGGAGUCCCAUAUCUUGAGACAGUUUAUAUAACAAAGUGUACAUGUUUAUUGACCAUUAUCCAUGAUAUAGAUCUCUAGAUCAAAGAGAAGUUCAGUCUGCAGAUAAGCACCAAAUUUUACAUACAUCAUCUUACAUACUAAGCAAAUAAUUUAUUCAUCAUUUCAGAAAUUGGUUACAAGUUUUCAUGUCUUUCACACAGUCCACCUGAAAUAGGUCUCUGUAUUUAAUAUUUUUCAGUUGAGUUUGGUUUUAAUUUAUAAGGAUCUUUGAAGUUCAAGAAUCACAGUCUUUCAUUUCUCUAGUUUAGCUCACAGAGAGGUAAUGGAUGCAUUUAUUUCCAAGAUCUUUGACUUGCUGAGUUUUUUUGUCAUUGUAUAAAUUGUGUUUGUCACUGCAUAAAUGUGGGGUUAUAUCUUUCGAUCAUUUUCCAGGCUCCAUUUAGACACAACUCCCAUCCUUGUUUAAAAUAAUUAGUAUGAUUGCAUUAGAUAUCUGUUAUAAUAAAUUAGUAUUAGUAUUGAUGUUUCAUUAUAUAAAACGUUUCUACCAAAGAUAUUUAUCAUAAACUGCCAUUCAGUUUUCAGACUCUAAAAUAACUCACUUACGUGCUUUUAUUGAUUCAAGGAGGUAAAUGUAACAUAUUUCAACCUCAGCAAUACCUUAAAUUUUUGAGAGUUUUACAGUUUAUACAGUUUAUAAGGUGUUUUUAUGUGAAUCAACUUACCAGAUUGAUGCUGACAUACCUCACACAUUUAGUGAAUGUGGAAUUCCUUUUAAUGGAAAGGUUGAAAAUAGGGUAUGAAGUUGAAUUCAGAAACUAAGAAGAAAAAUGUUAGCAGGAGCUCUUCUAGAAUUCAUGCAGAGUCAGCUACACUUGAAGACACAAAGAAAGCAAGAAGGACCAAGUCUAUAUAGGAACUAACAGGAGAACCGGAAUUUACACUGUACUCUGAGGGCCAAGAUUAAAACAUUCAAAGGAACAAGGCUGGCUCUCCUACUCAUUAGCCACACAUUAACUACUCAUUAGCCUGCGGACUGUUGACUUUAACUGCUGGAUCCUUAGUUUCAUCAUUUACAAAAUGUCAAUGAACACAGUUGUGCCCAUCUCCACAGAAUUGCUGUCAGUGUGCUUUGGGGGUGUGUAAUUAAAAAAAAAAUAUUUCAA